GAUGAACGCUGGCGGCGUGCCUAAUACAUGCAAGUCGAGCGAACGGACGAGAAGCUUGCUUCUCUGGUGUUAGCGGCGGACGGGUGAGUAACACGUGGAAAACCUACCUAUAAGACUGGGAUAACUUCGGGAAACCGGAGCUAAUACCGGAUAAUAUUUUGAACCGCAUGGUUCAAAAGUGAAAGACGGUCUUGCUGUCACUUAUAGAUGGAUCCGCGCUGCAUUAGCUAGUUGGUAAGGUAACGGCUUACCAAGGCAACGAUGCAUAGCCGACCUGAGAGGGUGAUCGGCCACACUGGAACUGAGACACGGUCCAGACUCCUACGGGAGGCAGCAGUAGGGAAUCUUCCGCAAUGGGCGAAAGCCUGACGGAGCAACGCCGCGUGAGUGAUGAAGGUCUUCGGAUCGUAAAACUCUGUUAUUAGGGAAGAACAUAUGUGUAAGUAACUGUGCACAUCUUGACGGUACCUAAUCAGAAAGCCACGGCUAACUACGUG
RNAcentral lists this ribosomal RNA (497 nucleotides) under uncultured bacterium. Its description in RNAcentral is "partial 16S ribosomal RNA". It matches the Rfam family "Bacterial small subunit ribosomal RNA", at positions 28 to 507 of the family's 1533-position model. The record is from RNAcentral.